Sander lucioperca (pikeperch) is the source of this 438-nucleotide long non-coding RNA. RefSeq lists it as uncharacterized. Lineage: Eukaryota; Metazoa; Chordata; Actinopteri; Perciformes; Percidae. The record is from RefSeq and is a predicted model, not a curated record. The transcript is spliced from 3 exons.
UGAAAGCAGAACAAGCCGGUUACGUCUGUCAGUGAAGUAACAUCUGUGGGUAAAAAAACCAAGAGAGACUUCUGCAGACACAUAGAGAAUUUCUUCUGAAACUCGGUAAGCUUGCAUUUGUUCAGCUGCAGGAGAACAACCUCAUCUUCUACGAUGAAGACCUGGAAGACUGUGGCAUUGACAUACGAGAGGCAUCCGUCUACUCUGGAUUUUGCAGUGCAGUUCUUAGGGAAGAAGAAGUCUUUUCCCAGAAAAAGAUCUUCUUCUUUGUGCACCUGACCAUACAGGAGUUCUUUGCUGCUCUUUUUGUCUAUGACUGUUUCACAAAUAAGAAUACAAAAGAGCUCGGCAACUUCCUCGAUCUGAAGGACAAAGAACAUACCUUACUUGAUCUUCUGAAGUUGCAGUGAAACAACUUAUGAAAAUGUUAGUUCUUUU